RNAcentral lists this ribosomal RNA (1430 nucleotides) under Providencia rettgeri. Its description in RNAcentral is "partial 23S ribosomal RNA". The record is from RNAcentral. Lineage: Bacteria; Pseudomonadati; Pseudomonadota; Gammaproteobacteria; Enterobacterales; Morganellaceae.
GAUCUAGCCAUGGGCAGGUUGAAGGUUGGGUAACACUAACUGGAGGACCGAACCGACUAAUGUUGAAAAAUUAGCGGAUGACUUGUGGCUGGGGGUGAAAGGCCAAUCAAACCGGGAGAUAGCUGGUUCUCCCCGAAAGCUAUUUAGGUAGCGCCUCGUGAACUCAUCUUCGGGGGUAGAGCACUGUUUCGGCUAGGGGGUCAUCCCGACUUACCAAMCCGAUGCAAACUMCGAAUACCGAAGAAUGUUAUCACGGGAGACACACGGCGGGUGCUAACGUCCGUCGUGAARAGGGAAACAACCCAGACCGCCAGCUAAGGUCCCAAAGUCAUGGUUAAGUGGGAAACGAUGUGGGAAGGCAYAGACAGCAAGGAGGUUGGCUUAGAAGCAGCCAUCAUUUAAAGAAAGCGUAAUAGCUCACUGGUCGAGUCGGCCUGCGCGGAAGAUGUAACGGGGCUAAACCAUGCACCGAAGCUGCGGCAGCGACACUAUGUGUUGUUGGGUAGGGGAGCGUUCUGUAAGCCUGCGAAGGUGWSCUGUGAGGSWUGCUGGAGGUAUCAGAAGUGCGAAUGCUGACAUAAGUAACGAUAAAGCGGGUGAAAAGCCCGCUCGCCGGAAGACCAAGGGUUCCUGUCCAACGUUAAUCGGGGCAGGGUGAGUCGACCCCUAAGGCGAGGCCGAAAGGCGUAGUCGAUGGGAAACAGGUUAAUAUUCCUGUACUUGGUGUUACUGCGAAGGGGGGACGGAGAAGGCUAUGUUAGCCGGGCGACGGUUGUCCCGGUUUAAGCAUGUAGGCUGRUUGUCCAGGCAAAUCCGGAUAAUCAAGGCUGAGGUSYGAUGACGAGKCACUACGGUGAUGAAGUAGCUCAUGCCCCGCUUCCAGGAAAAGCCUCUAAGCAUCAGGUAACAUUAAAUCGUACCCCAAACCGACACAGGUGGUCAGGUAGAGAAUACUCAGGCGCUUGAGAGAACUCGGGUGAAGGAACUAGGCAAAAUGGUGCCGUAACUUCGGGAGAAGGCACGCUGGUGUGUAGGUGAAGYCCCUGCGGRUGGAGCUGAAGCCAGUCGCAGAUACCAGCUGGCUGCAACUGUUUAUUAAAAACACAGCACUGUGCAAACACGAAAGUGGACGUAUACGGUGUGACGCCUGCCCGGUGCYGGAAGGUUAAUUGAUGGGGUUAUCCGUAAGGAGAAGCUCUUGAUCGAAGCCCCRGUAAACGGCGGCCGUAACUAUAACGGUCCUAAGGUAGCGAAAUUCCUUGUCGGGUAAGUUCCGACCUGCACGAAUGGCGUAAUGAUGGCCAGGCUGUCUCCACCCGAGACUCAGUGAAAUUGAACUCGCUGUGAAGAUGCAGUGUACCCGCGGCAAGACGGAAAGACCCCGUGAACCUUUACUAUAGCUUGACACUGAACAUUGAGCCUUGAUGAUG